GAUGAACGCUGGCGGCGUGCCUAAUACAUGCAAGUCGAGCGAACGGACGAGAAGCUUGCUUUUCUGAUGUUAGCGGCGGACGGGUGAGUAACACGUGGAUAACCUACCUAUAAGACUGGGAUAACUUCGGGAAACCGGAUCUAAUACCGGAUAAUAUUUUGAACCGCAUGGUUCAAAAGUGAAAGACGGUCUUGCUGUCUCUUAUAGAUGGAUCCGCGCUGCAUUAGCUAGUUGGUAAGGUAACGGCUUACCAAGGCAACGAUGCAUAGCCGACCUGAGAGGGUGAUCGGCCACACUGGAACUGGGACACGGUCCAGACUCCUACGGGAGGGAGCAGUAGGGAAUCUUCCGCAAUGGGCGAAAGCCUGACGGAGCAACGCCGCGUGAGUGAUGAAGGUCUUCGGAUCGUAAAACUCUGUUAUUAGGGAAGAACAUAUGUGUAAGUAACUGUGCACAUCUUGACGGUACCUAAUCAGAAAGCCCCGGCUAACUACGUG
RNAcentral lists this ribosomal RNA (497 nucleotides) under uncultured bacterium. Its description in RNAcentral is "partial 16S ribosomal RNA". It matches the Rfam family "Bacterial small subunit ribosomal RNA", at positions 28 to 507 of the family's 1533-position model. The record is from RNAcentral.